Molecule: small nuclear RNA, 151 nt
Organism: Arabis alpina (gray rockcress)
Lineage: Eukaryota; Viridiplantae; Streptophyta; Magnoliopsida; Brassicales; Brassicaceae
Rfam family: U4 spliceosomal RNA
About the family: U4 small nuclear RNA (U4 snRNA) is a component of the major U2-dependent spliceosome. The structure of U4 snRNA from yeast and human has been reported. U4 snRNA presents a k-turn RNA motif in the 5p-SL related to recognition of Snu13 protein.
Source: Rfam
AUCUUUGCGCUUGGGGCAAUGACGCAGCUAAUGAGGUUCUAACCGAGGCGCGUCUAUUGCUGGUUGAAAACUAUUUCCAAACCCCCUCUUGGGCCUAAGCUUGUCUUGGGCCUUCGAGAAUUUCUGGAAGGACUCCCUACGGGGUAAAGUC